Molecule: ribosomal RNA, 434 nt
Filed under: uncultured bacterium
Lineage: Bacteria
Description: partial 16S ribosomal RNA
Rfam family: Bacterial small subunit ribosomal RNA
Source: RNAcentral
AGCGAACGCUGGCGGCAGGCUUAACACAUGCAAGUCGAACGGGCAUAGCAAUAUGUCAGUGGCAGACGGGUGAGUAACGCGUGGGAACGUACCUUUUGGUUCGGAACAACACAGGGAAACUUGUGCUAAUACCGGAUAAGCCCUUACGGGGAAAGAUUUAUCGCCGAAAGAUCGGCCCGCGUCUGAUUAGCUAGUUGGUAGGGUAAUGGCCUACCAAGGCGACGAUCAGUAGCUGGUCUGAGAGGAUGAUCAGCCACAUUGGGACUGAGACACGGCCCAAACUCCUACGGGAGGCAGCAGUGGGGAAUAUUGGACAAUGGGCGAAAGCCUGAUCCAGCCAUGCCGCGUGAGUGAUGAAGGCCCUAGGGUUGUAAAGCUCUUUUGUGCGGGAAGAUAAUGACGGUACCGCAAGAAUAAGCCCCGGCGAACUUCGU